UGGAUAAGGCAGAGGGACAGAGCUCGAGCGGCAGAGGAGGGGGAGGCGAUUCCGGCGAUUCCUUCUGUUCCAUGUCGAUUUCGAGCUGAUCCACUGCAGGUUAUCGAUUUCUUCCUCUUCUUCUCGUCGUCCCUGUCCCUCGCACUGGUUGGUUAUCCCUGUCCCUCGCGCUGUUUGCCUGUCGCGUUGGUUGUGCGCGUGAUUUUUGGUAGGAGCCUGCAGUGCGCCACGCGUAGUCUCCACGGCGUGGUCUGUGUGUUAUUGUUGUUGUUGUAGUCGCAUACCAAUUCCCGCCCCCGGUUUGGUUCUCGUUGCUGUUGUGUAGGUAGGCGUAGAGGCAAGUUCUUCAGUUGAUGUGGAUCCCGUAGCUGCCUCUGAAGAUCGAGUUCUGUGUUUCCACCACAAUAGGAGUGUAUGUUAAACCAAAGUUCUGCAGAGAUAUGCGCAUGAAGUUCUCCUGUGCUUUUUUUUCUACCUUAUGCGCCAUGUAUGGCUUUGCUGUAGUUUCCUACUGUAUGUUGUCCUAAUUAUUGUGCAACUUGCUUCCCUAAUUACUGUGUGGAUAUAUCGUCCUUUUAAUCACGCCUUUGGCCACAUUCUAUUCUUUGGCCACAUUCCCCAUCUUUCUAGCUAAUGUGCCAGUGUAUUUUGUUCUGCCUAAUUUCUGUGUAAUUUAUCCUGUAAUUAAUCAGGGGAACUGUGCUCUUUUUUCAGUGUAUCCCCCCAUUUCCCUCCUUUUUUGCAGUCUAAUUUUAUCCGUUAAUCUUCCAUGUAGGUUGUCAUGUAGUUACAUUGUGGUCCCGUAUAUAUUUACACUGUAGUUUGACAUGUAAUUGCUGUGUAAUUUUCACUUUUUAAUCGUGUGUAUUUUGUGCUGACAUCUGUAUUCCGAUGCGUAAUUACAGUGUAAGUUUUCCACAUUUUUACAUUGUAACUUCACUUUAUUUUUAGUGGUGUUACAGUGUAAAUUUUCCCUUAAUUACCGUGUAGUUACUCUGUAGUUUCUCUGUAGUUACACUGUAACCAGACGGUUUCUUACAGUGUAUUUUUACCCAUAAUUACUGUGUUAGUUUACACUCUAAGUUGAUGCUUUUUUAGAGUGCAACCUAUUAUUAUUGUGUAGUUUGUAGUGUAGUUACACUACAACCCAUUUCCCUUUUACGGUGUAAUUGUACCCAUAAUCACUGUGUAGGUUGUCUUGUUUUUAUGCUGCAUUCUGAUGCACUUUUACAGUGUAAUUUCACCCAUAAUUUCUGUACUGCAAUCCGAUGCCAUUUUGCACUGUAACCCGAUGCCCUUUUACAGUGUAAUUUUACCCAUAUUUACUUUGCUGUUUGUACUGUAGUUACACUAUAACCCAUAUAUUUUUACAGUGUAAUUUUCUCUUUAGUUUAAUGUUGUAAAUUUGCAUAGGUUUGCACUUCCAGUUUAAUCUCUUUAAUUGAGCCCCAUUUUCCCCUUUCGUCUGUUUAGAUGCAGCGUGUGGACUUCUGUAGAUGUUCCAUGUUCCUGUAGGUGAGAGGGCGAUCUUUAGGUGCUCAUGUACCUGUAGCUGCUCAUGUUCCUGUAGGUGAGCGGGAUUCUGUUGAUGUAGCUUGGCGGAUCUCUGUAGAUGUAGCAUGAGGGAUACCGUAGGUGUACUGGCCAAUGCCUAGCUCUUUUUUCUGCUCAUGCUGCGAUGCUCCCUGAUGCUUCUGCAUGUUUCCUGGUCAUGCCCUUAUGCUAGCUGCUCAUGUCAAGCUCUUUGUGUAUUCUAAUGAAUUCGGCUCCUGAUUUGUUGUUGCGAGGUGUAGUUCCCCUUUGUUCCAUGUUUGUUUUACUUCUAGCAGGAACGAAUUUUAAGUUCAAUUACAGUGUAAUUUUGGCUCAGCCCUUUUCAGUGUUGUCACUUGUUUGAUCAGACAUUUUCAGUGUUGUCAAAGACUUCCAGUGUUGUAGUGAAAAUUGGCCUAGUCUUACAGGGGUAAUUUCUUCUAGGGGUGAUUUUUUAUUGUAAUUACAGUGUGAUUUUCCUAGGAUGUCAUUGUAACUUUAUGUCAGUUUUACUGUGUAAUUUGUCCCAUUCCGACAGUAUUUUUGUCUCAGAUUCCAGUGUAAUUCCAGUGUAGUUUUACCCAUCAAUUCCAGUGUAAUUUUCCCCAUUAAUUCCAGUGUAAUUACAGUGUAAUUCUAGUGUAAUCCCAUUAAUUCCAGUGUAAUUCCAGCUUC
Triticum dicoccoides is the source of this 2208-nucleotide long non-coding RNA. RefSeq lists it as uncharacterized. Lineage: Eukaryota; Viridiplantae; Streptophyta; Magnoliopsida; Poales; Poaceae. The record is from RefSeq and is a predicted model, not a curated record. The transcript is spliced from 2 exons.